UACAGAGGGUGCGAGCGUUAAUCGGAAUUACUGGGCGUAAAGGGUGCGUAGGUGGUUUGGUAAGUUAGAUGUGAAAUUCCUGGGCUUAACCUGGGGACUGCGUCUGAUACUGCUGAGCUAGAGUACUGUAGAGGAAAGUGGAAUUUCCGGUGUAGCGGUGAAAUGCGUAGAUAUCGGAAGGAACAUCAGUGGCGAAGGCGACUUUCUGGACAGAUACUGACACUGAGGCACGAAAGCAUGGGUAGCAAACAGG
RNAcentral lists this ribosomal RNA (253 nucleotides) under uncultured bacterium. Its description in RNAcentral is "partial 16S ribosomal RNA". It matches the Rfam family "Bacterial small subunit ribosomal RNA", at positions 524 to 776 of the family's 1533-position model. The record is from RNAcentral.